This 253-nucleotide ribosomal RNA is filed under the name uncultured bacterium. RNAcentral's name for it is "partial 16S ribosomal RNA". It matches the Rfam family "Bacterial small subunit ribosomal RNA", at positions 524 to 776 of the family's 1533-position model. The record is from RNAcentral.
CACGUAGGGCGCAAGCGUUGUCCGGAAUUAUUGGGCGUAAAGAGCUCGUAGGCGGUCUGUUGCGUCCGCUGUGAAAACCCGGGGCUUAACCCUGGGCUGGCAGUGGAUACGGACAGACUAGAGGUAGGUAGGGGAGAAUGGAAUUCCCGGUGUAGCGGUGAAAUGCGCAGAUAUCAGGAAGAACACCCGUGGCGAAGGCGGCUCUCUGGGACGGUACUGACGCUGAGACGCGAAAGCGUGGGGAGCAAACAGG